Molecule: long non-coding RNA, 712 nt
Filed under: Homo sapiens (human)
Lineage: Eukaryota; Metazoa; Chordata; Mammalia; Primates; Hominidae
Description: HSALNT0063678
Source: RNAcentral
UUCCUGAAUGUUAUUCCUUGAUUUAACCUGGAAUAGUAUUUCUUGUGCUUCUUCAUAGCUAUUCAGCACAUUGGAAACAGAUUUAUUUCAGGUUAUUUUCGGGGGUGAUAGGAGUAGACUGAAUAAUGGCUCCUCAGAGGUAUCUACUUCCUAAUUUCUGAAACCUGGGUUUGUGUUAGCUUAUAUGCUAAAGAGGCCUAGCAGGUCCAAAUAAAUUAAGGAGGUAGGGAGGCUGUAUUAUCUAGGUGAGCCCAAUGUAAUCACAAGGGACUUAUACGCGGGAGGGAGGAGAGAGAAGAUUUGUGUGAUGUGGUCAGGAGCCAAGGAAUGCCUGAUGCUUCUAGCACCUGGAAGAGGAAGUUUGCUGUGCCAAGAUACCACCUGGGUUUCCUCUUUGCAGAGAAAAGGAUGAGAGAACAUCCAACUGUUUUGAGAAGGAUGAAGAAUUACUGAGAAGAGUGUCCAUAAAUAUAAAAAGAUAAGGACAAAAAAGAGCUCAGCAGUCUAUGACCACAAAUGGUGAGAGAACAAAAGAUGGCUUUCAAUCAGAUACUCCCUCCUCGCUGAUAUACGUUAUUUACAUAGCUCUGAUGUAUAGGCUAUCCUUGGGAAGACAAAAUGGUGGGUAAAAAAUCCAAAAUUAUUAAACAGAAAAUACCUUACAAAGUUAACAUUUAAUAAUCUCUAUAGAAUUGAUUACUAACUUGUAUUU